GAUGAACGCUGGCGGCGUGCCUAAUACAUGCCAGUAGAACGCUGAAGGAAGGAGUUUGCUCUUUCCGGUUGAGUUGCGAACGGGUGAGUAACGCGUAGGUAACCUGCCUGGUAGCGGGGGAUAACUAUUGGAAACGAUAGCUAAUACCGCAUAACAGUAGAUGUUGCAUGAUAUCUACUUAAAAGGUGCAAUUGCACCACUACCAGAUGGACCUCCGUUGUAUUAGCUAGUUGGUGAGGUAACGGCUCACCAAGGCGACGAUACAUAGCCGACCUGAGAGGGUGAACGGCCACACUGGGACUGGGACACGGCCCAGACUCCUACGGGAGGCAGCAGUAGGGAAUCUUCGGCAAUGGACGGAAGUCUGACCGAGCAACGCCGCGUGAGUGAAGAAGGUUUUCGGAUCGUAAAGCUCUGUUGUAAGAGAAGAACGAGUGUGAGAGUGGAAAGUUCACACUGUGACGUUAUCUUAACAGAAAGGGACGGCUAACUACGUG
RNAcentral lists this ribosomal RNA (497 nucleotides) under uncultured bacterium. RNAcentral describes it as "partial 16S ribosomal RNA". It matches the Rfam family "Bacterial small subunit ribosomal RNA", at positions 28 to 507 of the family's 1533-position model. The record is from RNAcentral.